AUUGAACGCUGGCGGCAGGCCUAACACAUGCAAGUCGAACGAGUGGCGGACGGGUGAGUAAUGUCUGGGAAACUGCCUGAUGGAGGGGGAUAACUACUGGAAACGGUAGCUAAUACCGCAUACCAUCAGAUGUGCCCAGAUGGGAUUAGCUAGUUGGUGGGGUAACGGCUCACCAAGGCGAGGAUCCCUAGCUGGUCUGAGAGGAUGACCAGCCACACGGGAACUGAGACAUGGUCCAGACUCCUACGUGAGGCAGCAGUGGGGAAUAUUGCACAAUGGGCGCAAGCCUGAUGCAGGCAUGCGGCGUGUAUGAAGAAGGCCUUCGGGUGGUAAAGUACUUUCAGCGGGGAGGCGUUACCCGCAGAAGAAGCACCGGCUAACUCCGUGCCAGCAGCCGCGGUAAUUC
Molecule: ribosomal RNA, 406 nt
Filed under: uncultured bacterium
Lineage: Bacteria
Description: partial 16S ribosomal RNA
Rfam family: Bacterial small subunit ribosomal RNA
Source: RNAcentral